GCACUGCUGAGAAGUUCAACAAUAAGACGAAACGGCCGUCCAGUGC
This is a non-coding RNA of Schistosoma mansoni, 46 nucleotides long. The record is from Rfam. Lineage: Eukaryota; Metazoa; Platyhelminthes; Trematoda; Strigeidida; Schistosomatidae.